UUCUAGCCCCGAUAGUAGUGAAAAUCCUUUUUCUGGCUCCUUUAGCCAGGAAAAGAUUGUAACGGAUAGCGGGAAUAGCU
Flavobacterium psychrophilum JIP02/86 is the source of this 80-nucleotide small RNA. It matches the Rfam family "Flavo-1 RNA". NCBI's taxonomy places the organism in Bacteria, Pseudomonadati, Bacteroidota, Flavobacteriia, Flavobacteriales, Flavobacteriaceae. The record is from Rfam.